This is a long non-coding RNA of Glossina fuscipes, 1647 nucleotides long. RefSeq lists it as uncharacterized. The record is from RefSeq and is a predicted model, not a curated record. The transcript has 3 exons. Lineage: Eukaryota; Metazoa; Arthropoda; Insecta; Diptera; Glossinidae.
GAAAGCGAAAAAACUUAAGCAAAUUAUUUUUUUUUUUUUGCAAAUUUUGAUGUAAAGUUUUUUGUUUUGUGAACGUAAAAGGCCAAAGUGCACCAGUAAAAAUUAAUAAAUAUCUUUUGAAAUAUGGAGGACUUGAAUAAAGAGACAUAUGUGAAAAAACAAAAGGAUAAAGAGGAACGAAAAUCCUUCAUGAACAGAAAAGCUUUGACAUUAAAUUAUUGCAGACUAAGUUAAAAGUUGAAUGAAUUUUUCUUCUUAAAAGCAAAAUAACGUUAUAUUAAAUUAAAUCUAAAUGUUUUAACUAAAGUAGACCAUAAAACACAAAUUGAUUCCAAGUGAAUUUUGACUUGAAAUUUCCGUUAACAUUAAAACAAUAUAUAAUUAAUAUAUUGUAAAGCAAAAUAUAUUGUAAAGCUUUGUUUUACAGCAAUUGCUCUAAAUUAUUCAGUAAUAAGUAAAAAAUUUAACGUCAUAAGCUGUAUUUUUCGAAUAUAAAUAAAGGUUUACAGAUAAAUGAAUUCGGUCAAUGUUCGAUAUUAUUGAAAGUCACGCCUAAAUUACCAGUGAUACUUGUUGAUUAUGACGUGCACAAAAGAGGAAAUAAAAGAAGAAUACAACUACUACGAAAAAUGAUUGAUAUAACCGCAUGAUCAUCAGUUUGGAGCAGUGAGGAUUGCGACGGGUGAAUCAAUUCACCGAUGUAUAAUAAAAACCAUGGUGUUAAUGUAUAUGAGACAAUGCUAAGCUGGAGACAUGAAAGUUCCUUAACGCGAGUAUUGGUGCAAAAACAAUAUGCACGAAUAGUCAAAUUAAUCCAUUGUUAGAAAUGUGAACAGCGCAGUAACAACAUUUAUUAGCAUAUUAAGGGUAGGAGUUUUUAAUUUCAUAAAAAAUUCUGAACAAAAACAGAGUUUGUAACUAGCAUAAGAAAAGUACACGCAAGCACGUAAAAAAUGGAAAUAAAUAAAAGAAAGAAGAACGGAAUGUUACAAAUAUAUAUGUAUGUAAAUGCUAACUGCGGUGUCAUCUCUAAUACAGCAGUACACACAACUGCCGUCAAAUGUACUAGAACUCAAGUAUUAUUAAAUGCAGCGCUACCUAGCCAUCAACACAUACACCUUAACGAAAUCACCAUCACUUUGUGGUUAAUGAUUAGUGUAUUCCUGUGUGUCGUAUAAUAACAUGGAUUUAGGAGUCUGAGGAAGCAAUUUCGGAGUGUCUCAUACAAGAUUUUGGGCCAAAACAGAGGGUAAGUAGAGUAGGGCUUAGAAUAGCCCAGGCAUAAGUUCAGUCCGUCCAGUAAAAGACGUCGAUCUGUCUCCAAAAGGGUCACUGGGCGGGUAUUUCUUAACUGCAAUCUUGCAAAAAUGCAACUCGGCAUACUUGCGAAAGAUAACGAAGAAGUUUGGGGUGUUUUGGUCCUGUGACCAGAAUAUGGAAAAGUUUAUGUAAAUUUGUCCUUAAUAUAUAUUUUAUAUGAACUUCAGGACUUUAUUUAACAUGCUUCGGAUUGUCCGAUUUGGGUCAAAUAUGCACCGUUUUGGUGUAUGAUUUGGUAAGGUAGCUUCAAAAUGGCUCUCUCAUAGAAGUCCUGGUCUCUAUUUGCAAAAAACUCUAGUAGUCGAUUUUCACAAUCCUCCCUAGAUU